GAAAAUGUGUUGAAGGGGAGUAGUACAACGAACGACUCCUUCCAGAGAGGGAAAUCGCAGGCUGGAAGAUUUCCUAGGAGAUCCCGUUGGAAAGUCGCCCUGGAGCAGCUUCCUUGAAAGCUUUUAGUAAAGGGAGCCGGCAUUAGCCGUUACCUGAAAGAAGUGCACAGAUGUAUCUGUGAAAAAAGGUGGUACCGCGAAAACAUCUCCUUUCGUCCUUUUA
This 223-nucleotide non-coding RNA is filed under the name Aeribacillus pallidus. RNAcentral describes it as "T-box sequence". It matches the Rfam family "T-box leader". Rfam says of the family: Uncharged tRNA acts as the effector for transcription antitermination of genes in the T-box leader family. T-boxes are found upstream of many aminoacyl-tRNA synthetase genes and some amino acid biosynthetic genes usually in Gram-positive bacteria. Lineage: Bacteria; Bacillati; Bacillota; Bacilli; Caryophanales; Bacillaceae. The record is from RNAcentral.